This 361-nucleotide unclassified non-coding RNA is filed under the name uncultured Meliniomyces. RNAcentral describes it as "sequence contains ITS2". The stretch from base 1 to 154 matches the Rfam family "5.8S ribosomal RNA". The record is from RNAcentral. Lineage: Eukaryota; Fungi; Ascomycota; Leotiomycetes; Helotiales; Helotiaceae.
AACUUUUGACAACGGAUCUCUUGGUUCUGGCAUUGAUGAAGAACGCAGCGAAAUGCGAUAAGUAAUGUGAAUUGCAGAAUUCAAUGAAUCAUCGAAUCUUUGAACGCACAUUGCGCCCCUUGGUAUUCCGAGGGGCAUGCCUGUUCGAGCGUCAUUAUAACCACUCAAGCCUCGGCUUGGUCUUGGGGUUCGCGGUCUCGCGGCCCUUAAAAUCAGUGGCGGUGCCGUCUGGCUCUAAGCGUAGUAAUUCUCUCGCUAUAGAGUCCCGGUGGCUACCUGCCAGAACCCCCCAUUUUUUACGGUUGACCUCGGAUCAGGUAGGGAUACCCGCUGAACUUAAGCAUAUCAAUAAGCGGAGGCU